CAGCAGCCACGGUAAUACGAAGGGUGCAAGCGUUACUCGGAAUUACUGGGCGUAAAGCGUGCGUAGGCGGCUUCUUAAGUCGGAUGUGAAAUCCCUGAGCUUAACUUAGGAAUUGCAUUCGAUACUGGGAAGCUAGAGUAUGGGAGAGGAUGGUAGAAUUCCAGGUGUAGCGGUAAAAUGCGUAGAGAUCUGGAGGAAUACCGAUGGCGAAGGCAGCCAUCUGGCCUAAUACUGACGCUGAGGUACGAAAGCAUGGGGAGCAAACAGGAUUAGAUACCCCUGUAGUCCCUGUCUCUUAUAC
This 301-nucleotide ribosomal RNA is filed under the name uncultured bacterium. RNAcentral describes it as "partial 16S ribosomal RNA". It matches the Rfam family "Bacterial small subunit ribosomal RNA", at positions 509 to 807 of the family's 1533-position model. The record is from RNAcentral.